UACAGAGGGUGCAAGCGUUAAUCGGAUUUACUGGGCGUAAAGCGUGCGUAGGCGGUUCAUUAAGUCGGUUGUGAAAUCCCUGGGCUUAACCUGGGAACUGCAGUCGAUACUGAUGGACUAGAGUACGGUAGAGGGUGGCGGAACUCCGGGUGUAGCGGUGAAAUGCGCAGAUAUCGGGAGGAACACCGGUGGCGAAGGCGGUUCUCUGGGCCUUACCUGACGCUGAGGAGCGAAAGCGUGGGGAGCGAACAGG
Molecule: ribosomal RNA, 253 nt
Filed under: uncultured bacterium
Lineage: Bacteria
Description: partial 16S ribosomal RNA
Rfam family: Bacterial small subunit ribosomal RNA
Source: RNAcentral